GGGGCUGAUUGGCUUUGACAGCGCGUAGAGGUGGUAAGUAAGCACGCAGAGGCAUGAUGGUGGUCCUCUUAAAUAUCCCACAUCAAACUAUUUUAAAUGGCGAAAACAACUACGCUCUUGCUGCCUAAUCGAAGUACAGUAGAUUAGCUUAAUCUCUGCCACAGUGGUGGAGACAAGACGUCGCCCGAUUGUUGUAUUUCCGAGACGUUUCGACCAGGCGGCGCAGAUAAAUCGGUUAUAGCUCGUAGGAAUCUCCGGCUUAUGAGCGAAAUUUAGGAGAUAAG
Molecule: transfer-messenger RNA, 284 nt
Filed under: Muribaculaceae bacterium
Lineage: Bacteria; Pseudomonadati; Bacteroidota; Bacteroidia; Bacteroidales; Muribaculaceae
Description: partial transfer-messenger RNA
Rfam family: transfer-messenger RNA
About the family: Bacterial tmRNA, also known as 10Sa RNA or SsrA, is named for its dual tRNA and mRNA-like properties. Its role is to liberate the mRNA from a stalled ribosome.
Source: RNAcentral